Molecule: ribosomal RNA, 247 nt
Filed under: uncultured phototrophic eukaryote
Lineage: Eukaryota
Description: partial 16S ribosomal RNA
Rfam family: Bacterial small subunit ribosomal RNA
Source: RNAcentral
UCAGGGAGGAAUAAAUGACGUGUACCUGAAGAAUAAGCAUCGGCUAACUCCGUGCCAGCAGCCGCGGUAAGACGGAGGAUGCAAGUGUUAUCCGGAAUCACUGGGCGUAAAGCGUCUGUAGGUGGCUCGACAAGUCAACUGUUAAAUCUUGAAGCUCAACUUCGAAAUCGCCGUCGAAACUAUCGAACUAGAGUAUAGUAGAGGUAAAGGGAAUUUCCAGUGGAGCGGUGAAAUGCGUAGAGAUUGG